GCACAUCUGUUUAAACUUUUUCCCGGGGGGGGAUUAAGCAUAUAAUUAAGCGGAGGAAAAGAAACUAACUAGGAUUCCCUCAGUAACGGCGAGUGAAGCGGGACUAGCUCAGGAUGUGAAUCUGCGCUUUAAUGGCGCCGAAUUGUGGUCUAUAGACCUUGACGUUAUCUGCCGGGCCAAGUUCCUUGGAAAAGGACAGCUGAGAGGGUGAGACUCCCGUCCGCCUGGUAGAGUGAGUCAUGUGUCAACGAGUCGAGUUGUUUGGGAUUGCAGCUCUAAUUUGGUGGUAAAUUCCAUCUAAAGCUAAAUAUUGGUGGGAGACCGAUAGCGUACAAGUACCGUGAGGGAAAGAUGCAAAGAACUUUGAAAAGAGAGUUAAAGAGUACCUGAAAUUGCUGAAACGGAAGCGAAGGAAACCAGUGUUUGUUGGUUCAUAUUUCCCUGGCCACUUGUGGUUUGGGCGCUGUGAGCUUGCGUGUGUUUGUCUUGGUUGAUCCCUUUGGAAGAGCGCAGUCAGAGUUGAUGUCUGUUGCUAGCACUGGGUUUGACUGAUGCAGACG
Molecule: ribosomal RNA, 560 nt
Filed under: Pseudo-nitzschia cuspidata var. manzanillensis
Lineage: Eukaryota; Bacillariophyta; Bacillariophyceae; Bacillariales; Bacillariaceae
Description: partial large subunit ribosomal RNA
Rfam family: Eukaryotic large subunit ribosomal RNA
Source: RNAcentral